GUAUUUUCAUCACAAAAUUUAUUUUUCUAGGUGCAAUGUUUUAAGGGGAAGACUUACACUAUGAAGCUAGCCCAGAAGAGGGUGACUAGAGUACUGAGGAGUUUCUACCUGGAAGGGCUGUAAGACAACUGCUAUGUUGUGAGCGGCUCUAUGGAGAGGCCCAUGUGGAGGGAAGUGAGGAAGGCCUCUGGCCAACAGUCCAGGAGGAAGUGAAGCCCUCAGUCCAACAGCCUGUGUGGAACUGAACCCUGCAAACAACUCUGUGUGUGAGCUUGGAAGUGGAUCCAUAUUCAGUCAAACCUUGAGAUGGGACACCAUGCUCUGCUAACACUUGAUUGUGGUCCCAGCUAGGCCACUGCUGAAGUCUUGACUCAGAGAAACGAUGAUAUAGUAAAUGUUUGUUGUUUCAAGUUGGUAAGUUUUGGGAUAAUUUUUUAUAUAGUGAUAAUUUUUUAUAUACUUUAAAAUAACACAUUGCCCUAUCCUUUGGUUACACUUUUCUCUUGGAACUCUGCUUGCCCAUAUAUUACAGAAAUAUUUUUCAGAUCAUGGGCUGAAAGGUGGAUUAUGGAUGCAAUGUUUAAAUUUAGCAAUGUCAUUUAUGACUGUUCAUAUGAGCUUUGCUGCAUAAAAUGUUGAUAUUAAUUUGUUUCCCUUUAAGACAUUCUUAAUGUUUACCUCUCAGUAUUUUCUUUGUAAUCAAUUAAUGUAAGAUGAAUAUAGUUUGUAGGUUUUACCUUUCUUGAUUCGUAUACAAAACACACAACAUCCAACCAUUGUUAUUUAAAGAUUAUCUAGGAGGAGAUGAUGGAAACUCUGUUUUGGGCCACCUUCUUUACACAUUGGGUCUAUUUCCCCUAACUUGAGUAUAUAUUAAACUAGUGGGGGAUUGAGCUACAAAAAUGCUACUUGGUGAGAAUUUUAUUAAUACAAAUACUCAACUCUGAAGUUACGUUUUUGUGGAAAGUUAUCACUUUGGAAUUUGAAUUUUCUUGGAGCUAAGCCACUGGUAGUUGUAAAAGCUACACCUGUAAAUUUGCUCCCUAGAAGAUACUUUCGUUUAGUGACCACUUGUUUCUCUGUGGAUAAAUUCAAUUAUAAAUUACAAUCGAAUUGACGUUUUCAUAGCAUCCUUCACUCUCCAAGUAUCUCAAGUCCUCUGUGAAUUAUAAAGUAAUUACAGUGCUCAAAGGACAGUUUCAUAAUUGUGUCCAUGAGCACAGACUUUCCUCUAUGUUCGAGAAGGGCUCAUUCCCAGCCGGGAACAUUAAGUUGGAUUUUAUUGAGACUGGGGACUGCUAGUCCAGACAGCUGGGUGAUCCCCUGCGCUAUUUUGAAAAGUAUCCUGGGAUCUUUAAUUUCCACCUGGAUGGUCAGGGAGGUGAGAGAACGGCCCUCACUGGGUGUGACCUUGUAUCCCACUUGGGGUCUUGAACCAGGGGACCCCCAACCCCAGAGGUGAGACAUGCAAUAUGGUCAAUUAUACAACCUCUUAAUUAUUUUUUGCUGAAUCUCAAGUGAGUUCUCAUGGCCUGCUCUCUCCCGGGUGGGUUCAGAAGGUGGCCAAGAAGAAAUGUUAGAAAAUUCCCAGAGAGCCAUUUCAUGAGAAUGUUUUCUUUGGUUUAUACCUGAUACUGUUUUGUUUUUGUUGUUGCUUUUUAAUAACUUUUUUUUCUUUUUGUGGGGUCAUUUGCGUAAUACACAGGUGACGAACACUCAAGGUUAUUUGGUCGCAUGCCACCAAAUAACUUUCCUUUGGCACAUCUGCAGUGAAGGAGUCUUUCUGUCUGUCUCCUUUUGUUCCUCAUCAUCUAUUAGCUUGGCACAGCUGACUGAGCUGUUAAAUGAUUACUGCAUAUUUUGUACCUCACCUUGAGAGGCUUUGGUAUAAAAAGGUGCUAAUUAAGCUGAAGCUUCUGGCCCUCUUGCCUAUGUGGGCCCCAGGAAGCGAAGCAAAAAGACUUUAGGGAGCUGGAGCUUGUGUGUGUGUGUGUGUGUGUGUGUGUGUGUGUGUGUGUGUGUGUGUGUGUGUGUGUUUCGUUUUCAGCAUUUUGAGGAAUUGUUACUGGAACUUAUAAAAUAAUUGUUUUAGACCUUAUAAACACAGCAAAUUCUUCAAACUACGUAUGAGGCUGACUCAAAAAGCCACGUAAAGGUAGCUUGGCGAAUCAACUAACUGCUGACCAGUUUGUGGUGAUCGUAAGUCUAUAUAUGCUGGAUUUGGCGAUCGUAAGUCUAUAUAUGCUGGAUUUGAAUAUUUUCUGUAUUUAAAGAAAAAUAAGUACAUUCUAAGAAUAGUUGUCAUCUCCCUCUGUAGACUUGCCCCGUAGAUAUUUGAAAUGGGGAUUAACAUAUUUAAGAGUAGCAGGAAGUGCUAUUUCAUCAGUGUCUAGAAUGGGAGGCGAAUUCAGUCCCUGCCUGGACUUGUUGACUAGCUCGCUGGGUUGUGAAAACCACGGCAUUCUCCUGGGAAUUUGUUCCAGGGCACUGACUGCAUUUCUUCUGAAGCUAAAGCACUUAGCUUUGCUUCCAUGCCUUUUAAUAUAAUUUGUAGGCUUCAGCAGAUUUCUAAAGUACACCACUUGAUAUCUUUCACAGCUCAAGGUAAAUUCUGCAGCACGAACUUAUAGAAUUUUUUUCUUUUACCUGGGGUGAGAACAUACCUUUUCCUAGUGCUAUUUUUUUUUUCUGGGCUACCUUUCAUCUGUUUACAUGAAUUCCACUUCUUCUCGCUGUGUUAAAGAAAUCCCCUAAGCUGUCUACAUAGGUGUGAAACUUUUGGUUGUGAUUUCCUUGAAGUUAGUUGGAACUGGAACAUUUUUUUCUGUGUCCUGAAUGGCUCACACAUUCCCUAACACAGAAUGGAUACUCAGCGAACAGUUGUUGAAUCAGUGAACGGUAAUGGCUCAGUUCUGUCAGACAAUGGAUUGAAUUAUUUUUACACCUUUAAUUCACUCAUGGACUGAAUUAACCUACUCAUGGGCUGUUUGGGGCAUCAAGUGAUAUUUAUACAUUUCUGAAGAAUGUGGAAUCACCAGGGUUAACAGUGUUUGCAGGUGGCGUUCGAUUGCAGGGGCCCAAGGAACCACGGCUGAAUUCCGCAUGGACAUAGGCCAUUUUCCACCAGCAAAGUUAUGAGAACUUUUUUUGUUUUGGUAACUGAUGUGAAAUUUUCAGUUCCGAAUGACAUCCAGAAACUCUCCUUCUGCAGCAGAUGAAUGUUUUGAGGGAAUUUGAGAGGAGGGUUUGUCUUUUAUCUCUCACCUGCACGAGGACACUUGCAGUCUCUUAAGAGAUGUUCUCUUUUUGAAAUGGUGGAAGGACAGAAGCAUCAGCCAGCCCGUUCAUGCUUGGGGACAGAGAGGGAGCUCAGAGCUUAGGGGAGCACAGGUCACUCUAAUGAAUGACAGCUGUAAUAAUAAAGACAUGCCAUCCAUGCUACUUUUUGCAGAAACCAGAAACAUCCUUGUGAAAGUUAAAGGGAAAAGAAAAACGUGUACUUUGAGGGGGGUGUUAACGGGGGACAGGAGGUGGCGACAUAAAAGACUGGUUUAAUGUGUCUCGUUGUAGCCCCUAAGGCUUUACCUGACCCCAUCACUGUCACAACACCUUCUUCGGGACUGACAGUCUUGGUAAUUGAUGGGUUGGUGGGGGCUUUUUUCUGCAAACACAUUAAGGCAGGAGGGAAUACUCUGGCCCCCACCUCCCCACGCCUGGCACGGGGGACCUGGAGGCGAGCAGACACCAGGCCCGGCGGUGUUGGGGGCAGAAGGGAUCAAUUCUGUCAACCAGACUGCCCAGCUACUGUCAGGCACUGGGACCCUUCACCUGCUCCUUGGAGUCAUUAGAACUCCCAAAUCUCUUUGCAGGCCUUUUCUAUUAGACACAUACUCCCAUGUUUUGAUUUUUUGCUCCCAAAGUCAUUUUUUUAAAUAAUUACCUGCAUCGAACCACACUUACCAUCUGUGGGCUGAGAGCGGGCAAAUGAUUUAUUAGUCUUGGUUUCUAACGGUGCUGAGCAGCUUGGGAUCGAUCUUGCUGGUGACACACUCGGCAGAUGCACCGAUGGGUGGGAGGGUCAAUGUCAGGAUGAAGCUUCUUGCGGAGCUGACAUGCACGUGGGGACCCCAGGUGUGGUGUUUAGUUGGUAGACUGUGACAUUGCAAAAGUGGAGUCUCAAGCCAUGGCGGAUAACAGGCGGCAGAAAAAGCAGUGAGGGAGCUUCUUGGGAUGUUUUACUUUAAGUAGAAAGUAAAACUGUGCAUGAAAAGAGGGGACAGAGUAUGCAACCCAAAUCAUCGCCAAGGCUCUUGGUUUCUUCUGUGCACACUGCCUGCCUUGUAUCCAAGCGUUUGACUGUGCAGAGGCCAGUCAUACUGGGGGACCCUGAGCACUACCCUUGGCAUUUGGGUAUAUCCUGAUCAAUAUAGCCAUUUCCACUGCUUGACAUUAUGUUUUGGGGGCUAGUUUUUUAAAGAUCAAUGAUUGAAUUGCUGCUCGGCUGAUUGGAUAUGUCUUCUCGGAGACUCACCUGUCCUCCCCGAAGAGAUGCUGACUACACAACAGCAGUCACUGUGCUGGGCACACGGGCAGUGUUCAGGAGACGUGGCUUCCUUUCUUCUUCUUUCAUUUCUUCCUGCCCAGAACAGCAAGGCUGAGACUGAUAAUAAAAUUCCUGGAACAUGGAGAAACUCAUGUGGGGAGAAAAGAAGAAAUGUAUUGUGACUUCCAUGGGCUUUUGGCACUUUUGGACCUCCCUCCUCCUCUUUUCCAUAAAAAAUGUAUUUUAAGACAUAUUGGUAUAAAGAUGAGAUUAUUCAUAGUACAUAUUAAAAUGUUUUCCCCUACCUAAAAGUUUGUGGUUUUAUUGUCUUCUUGUUUUUAAAAUAAAUUAAAAUAUUUUCAAAGGCCGUUAGAAGAACCGUGGGCCCUGGGCUUGGUGCCUGCUGUGCCUCAUAAAUCAGGCCUGGAGAAGAGACAUCAGUGACAUUUUAGUGUCAGGUAGAAAAUGUAAAAUAUCAUGAUUGUUUUCCAAUGAUAUACUAAGUAAGACACAUAAGAUGUGUUUUAAUUUUUUUCUUGAUGUAUGCUGUUGUCUUUUAGUUAUAAAUGCUGAGUACUGUUAAAAGAUAAACUGAGGCACAAUAAAAUUUGAAGAGUUUAUUUGAGCAAACAAUGAUUUGUUACCGAAACACCAGGGGUUCAUCUGGGUCCUGCUGCUUGCCACACAGAAAGCCAAUCACUGAG
This 5247-nucleotide long non-coding RNA is filed under the name Homo sapiens (human). RNAcentral's name for it is "long non-coding RNA NONHSAT172036.1". Lineage: Eukaryota; Metazoa; Chordata; Mammalia; Primates; Hominidae. The record is from RNAcentral.